CGUGCAGGCGGUCGGGUAAGUCAGAUGUGAAAGCCUUCCGCUUAACGGAAGAAGUGCAUUUGAAACUGCUCGGCUGGAGUACGGGAGAGGAGAGUGGAAUUCCCGGUGUAGAGGUGAAAUUCGUAGAUAUCGGGAGGAACACCAGUGGCGAAGGCGGCUCUCUGGUCCGAUACUGACGCUGAGACGCGAAAGCGUGGGGAGCAAACAGGAUUAGAUACCCUGGUAGUCCACGCCGUAAACGAUGGGCACUAGGUGUAGGAGGUAUUGACCCCUUCUGUGCCGAAGCUAACGCAUUAAGUGCCCCGCCUGGGGAGUACGGCCGCAAGGCUAAA
Molecule: ribosomal RNA, 332 nt
Filed under: uncultured bacterium
Lineage: Bacteria
Description: bacterial SSU rRNA
Rfam family: Bacterial small subunit ribosomal RNA
Source: RNAcentral